Molecule: ribosomal RNA, 497 nt
Filed under: uncultured bacterium
Lineage: Bacteria
Description: partial 16S ribosomal RNA
Rfam family: Bacterial small subunit ribosomal RNA
Source: RNAcentral
GAUGAACGCUGGCGGCGUGCCUAAUACAUGCAAGUCGAGCGAACAGACGAGGAGCUUGCUCCUCUGACGUUAGCGGCGGACGGGUGAGUAACACGUGGAUACCCUACCUAUAAGACUGGGAUAACUUCGGGAAACCGGAGCUAAUACCGGAUAACAUGUUGAACCGCAUGGUUCAACAGUGAAAGACGGUCUUGCUGUCACUUCUAGAUGGAUCCGCGCCGCAUUAGCUAGUUGGUAAGGUAACGGCUUACCAAGGCAACGAUGCGUAGCCGACCUGAGAGGGUGAUCGGCCACACGGGAACUGAGACACGGUCCAGACGCCUACGGGAGGCAGCAGUAGGGAAUCUUCCGCAAUGGGCGAAAGCCUGACGGAGCAACGCCGCGUGAGUGAAGAAGGUCUUCGGAUCGUAAAACUCUGUUAUUAGGGAAGAACAAAUGUGUAAGUAACUAUGCACGUCGUGACGGUACCUAAUCAGAAAGCCACGGCUAACUACGUG